AAGAACAUUCAUCGAUCAAAGGUUAUGCGGCUUGUCAAACCGACUUCCGUGUCCGUGUUCCGUUUCUUGAUGGAGUGUAAUGCGCGUUCGUUGUGUUUCAAUUGGUAGCCGCGGCCCACACGCGACUCGCGAUUCGUUCGAUCGAGCUUACCUCGCCCCUGUCGCGGUGAGGACGCGUGAACGCGACGAACGAGGCCGUUUUUAACGAGCUCGCGCGCCUACCCCGUGCACGCGGUCCCGCGUAAACGAGAGGCGGAGCAACUGCUUCCAAGAGGUCAGAGGCCACUACCAAUCGCAAUCUCCCGAUAACCACUCUUCUCACUGGCUCCUCUCCUCGGAUCAACGCUGAAGCGCCACUUUUUUCCUUUCUAUUUACACGUACCGAGGAUGCGUGGACGCAUACGCGCCGCCUUCUCCUUUCCUCCCUUCCCACCUAUCCGCGUCACUUUUUCCUAGGUUACGCUGUUUUUUCGUCAAUUAUCGUAAUCCGUAAUAAGGCUGAAAAUCUAACCGGAUCUCAACUCGGAGGACUAUUCGUCACAGGAAUCGAUCUCAUCGCGGUUCUCUCUUCGACGACCUCGACCGUUGCGAUAAACGACGUGUCGCGGCAUUCGUAUAAUCGUUCGAUUUGUACACGUCGUUCCUUUGCUCGUAACAAUUUUCGUCGAGGCGAUGUUAAAAGAUUUGCACAUGUCUUCGUUUCUCUUUCGAUUUCCUAUCGACUACGUUUUACACAGAAAGAAUCAUUUUUUUUUCACUCGCGUUGCAUGCUAUUUAUGUAUAUAUGUGUGUGCUUUUAACUAAUCGUUUCUUUCCACUACAUGAUUACUUAAACUACGUAACAAUAGAACUAUUGAACUACGGAAUCACGUAUCUUCGUUUCAUUGUUUUAUCUUUUUUAGUUGAUUUUUCUUCUUUCACAAAUGAUUCAUAGGUAAGUACGAUCCAUCCAAAUAAAACUAAAAAUUUUACUCGUCUACUCGUUAUUCUUUUCGACUGAACAUAUGUGGAAUCAAAACGAAAAACAUCGCGGUAUUUCGUGAAACUUUUCUCCGAUUAUCCUAUUAGCGCCAUCGUCCGAUCAAUUUUUGAAUCUCUUACGUCGUAGUUAAAACCAAUAAUAUCGUACCUAUACUAUCGAUAUCAUUCUGUGAGUUUCGAUUUGAUUCGGUCAAGGAGAAUCGAUACUAUUUUGAUAUUUGUCGAAAAUAUCGAUACAUGAGUUCGAUUUUGAAAAAAAUAUGACAAUAGAUGUUAAAAUAUGAUGUUGGAAUCAUGAACAUGUUUGAUUCCAAAGUACACAUAUCAAAAAAUUACAAAGUUAAUAAAAGACAGCAUCUUUAUCGACAUUAUCGACGGAUAGUCAGUUAAUUAGUUGAGCAUCAUAAUCGUGAGCGCUUUCGUCUUGUUCUUUUUCUUCCUGUAUUCACAUAGUUGAAAAUAAAUCGUUGUAAAAAAAACAUAUGUGUUGAAUUAUUGCGUUACGAACAUCCUUUUUCCUUAAUUCUUUUUCUUUUGUUUAACAAAUGUUAUCAAAUUCAGUGUAUAUAGUAACAAAUCAACAAUUAGAAUCAGUUAAUCGGUGAUAUAGUUGAAUCGAUCUUCAAAUGUGAUUUAUAAAAUGAAAAAAGUAAUGGCGAAUUAUAACGAUCUCGAAAAUAUCAAAUACCGUAUUAAAUCGAUUUAAUAAAAUAACUAAUGACUAAAAUAAAAAAACAAUUUAUUAACGACAAUAUCUAUAAUUACACUAUAAUGUAUCGCGCGUGGGAAGCAGUAUUCCAUUUGAUAUAUCGCUUAGCUUUUUUUUCUUUUUCUUCUUUUUUUCAUCGGACUAUUAAAUGGAUUAACCAUCGUGUAAUCGAUUGAGAACCAGUAAAUGGAAAUUCCUAUUGAGGAUAAGAUUAAAUCGAAUAGUGAUGAUUUUGAAGAUCAAUGUUCGGUGGUUUCGUGCAAAUCCUGACAAAAUUGUAAAAUCAAACGAAAAAAUGACGGGACGAGAGAAGAUUAAGAUAACGAAUUUGGAUAAAUCAUCAACCACAUUCAAACUUCUGAAAACAACUAUUUUCUAUUGGACAUUGUAUUCUGUUCAUCUUUACCUCACAUUUCGUAAGAUAAAUCAAUAAAUAUCAACGCGAACUAACGUUAUAUGCGUAUAUAUAUAUAUAUAUAUAUUUAUAUUAAAAUUAAACGUGCACGCUGAUGAAAUGCGUCUGGAAACACUCAACAAUGAUCAAUAUUGUUUUUGUUGAGAGUUGUGUUACAAAAGAUACGUCCAAUGAUCAGUUGAACGAUCAGCAUAAAAUGUAUAUGUACAUGUACGAUAAUCAGUUUGUGCAACACUAGAGACACUAUUCGUAAUAUUUUUGUUUCGAAGAAAAAAAAAA
Molecule: long non-coding RNA, 2384 nt
Organism: Apis florea (little honeybee)
Lineage: Eukaryota; Metazoa; Arthropoda; Insecta; Hymenoptera; Apidae
Source: RefSeq, a predicted model, not a curated record